RNAcentral lists this ribosomal RNA (488 nucleotides) under uncultured bacterium. Its description in RNAcentral is "bacterial SSU rRNA". It matches the Rfam family "Bacterial small subunit ribosomal RNA", at positions 25 to 518 of the family's 1533-position model. The record is from RNAcentral.
CAGGACGAACGCUGGCGGCGUGCCUAACACAUGCAAGUCGAGCGGAGACAGACGGAAAGCUUGCUUCUGUCUGUUCAGCGGCGGACGGGUGAGUAACGCGUGAGCAACCUGCCUUUAACAGGGGAAUAACGCAUCGAAAGAUGUGCUAAUACCGCAUAAGACCACAGCAUCACAUGGUGCAGGGGUCAAAGGAGCAAUCCGGUUAAAGAUGGGCUCGCGUCCGAUUAGCUGGUUGGUGAGACAACAGCCCACCAAGGCGACGAUCGGUAGCCGACCUGAGAGGGUGAUCGGCCACAUUGGAACUGAGAUACGGUCCAGACUCCUACGGGAGGCAGCAGUGGGGAAUAUUGGGCAAUGGGCGAAAGCCCUGACCCAGCAGCGCCGCGUGAGGGAAGAAGGGUUUCGGCUCGUAAACCUCUGUCCUAUGGGACGAAGGAAGUGACGGUACCAUAGGAGGAAGCCCCGGCUAACUACGUGCCAGCCGCGGC